RNA transcript from Dinoponera quadriceps, 4647 nucleotides. It is a transcript of the gene named WD repeat-containing protein 63-like, with no coding region annotated. The transcript has 2 exons. Lineage: Eukaryota; Metazoa; Arthropoda; Insecta; Hymenoptera; Formicidae. The record is from RefSeq and is a predicted model, not a curated record.
AUCGGCUUGCCAAUCGUUGGCAGAUUAACAUCUUCAUCAAGCUUAGUUUGCCUCACGGCCGUGGAACAGUAUUCGCGACUCGUGCAGUUGUUGUGCCCGGUCGCUCGCGAAUUAGGUCGUCGAAUCCUUGGACUAUAAUAAUUAAUACCUGAGACCGUCAUGGAGUUGCGUGUGGAAUGGAGGAGAAUUGAUAUAGUAAUCUUCCUGGCGUAACACGAAUGCUGCGUAAUGUGUCAUCUGAAUGCGUCAUAUCUAUUCGGGUCUACCCGUUGAUACGCGGUAACGUUGACUAUCGCGGGUAAUCACGUCUCACUUACGUCAACGCAGUAAUUUUCAUUUAAUGACGGCAAACUGAUUUACACCUGGCAAAAGUGCAAGGCGUGCGAGAGAAACGCUCUCGCGAAGUGUUAUUUAUUCUUCCGUACGUUUCUCAACCAGUCUGACGGAUUUCGCGACAGUAGCCAACUCUGUGUUUUCGGGCCUUCAGCUUCUCUUUUUCGCUGCUCGCUCGUUACAGAGAAUCACAUUACACGGUUGGUUAUACAGAAUUACACUUCUAGAGAAAGACUCGCCCGACGUCCGGUCUUAUCAUUUCCGGCCUCACCUUUUCUUGUCUGCGUAUGAUGUGUGACAAUGGCGACGAGCUUCCUGUCGAGAACGAAAGUCAUGCAAGUGCCGUUAUACUCUGAUAAGGAAAGAAAAGGCGUGUAAUUAUAUCGUUUAUGUAUGUGUAUUCAUAAAUAUAUGAGUCCGGAAGAAAUUUCAAUUGCGGAAUCUUUUAUAAACGCGGAAUCAAAAUUUUUCUCUCACAAAAAUCUCCAGAGAUGCCUUGCUUAUCAGCUUGAUACUUAACGUCGACGAAUGAAGAAUUCCAGCAAGUUACGCUUCGAAAAUGCAAAUGCGUAGUAGCGAGUGCGUAACGGCAAGUGCGUAAUAGCAAAUUUUAGCAAGUGUCUAACGAAACGUUGUUUUCGAAAUUCCAGUUUAACGAAAAUUCCAAUUGGCAGAGAAUCUGUCGUGAUCAUUUCACUCGGUGUGGCAGCAAGACCCAAAUGUAUGUGUGAAUUUCAUUAAACAGGUGCGAUGUUUGAUUUAUUGGCAGCUGUAGUCAUGCUUGAGACAAAGUUUCAUCACCGCGAGAGCAAUAGCAAGAAGCUAAAGUAAAAUAUAACGUAAAUAUAACAUUUCUGUGGCUUCUGAUAUUUUCUUCGUAAACAGACAUCAUUUUUGGAGUUUCCUCUCUUCAUAAGGCAGUAACGCACAGCUCUGUUUUUUAAAUUCUACAUUAGAAAGUGCGUAGAAAGUGUUAUUUCGCAUAUUGAAACGCCAGUAAUUAUCGUGUAUAUAACAUUUAUUAAUUAUUUAUUAAUUACAUAUCACAGAUAUAUUUCUAUUCGACGCGGAAAACUUGUAUUUGAUAUAACGAUCGAAAAAUUCUCAUAUAAAUCGAUGCGGGCGAAACGGUCGAAAUAAAUCGUGAACGAGAGGUCAACUGAGCGCGAAAGGUAUUCAAGCGAUUAAUCGUACCGCCAUAUCGGUAAUUGUAAUAUAGUUCGACGAACGAUAAACGCGCCCUUUUUCCUGUUACAACGGGAAACAGCUUCGGUGCCGUCCGGUUGUUGCGGAAACAAACUUGUGGGGAGACCGCAAAUCAAUUCUUUUAUCGUCCAGACGAGAAACUUUGUGCGAUUAUUGCAGUUACGAUUCACCUAUGAAAAAUGUUCUAUUUCCCAUACUUAAAAUUAUUUUACAUACAUGGGCGAAUAAAGUUUUAUAAUUUCAUGUUGCUGACGCCGCUGAUCAUGGCUUAGCUGAAAAUGUUUUGCUUCUGUAGUUAAAAAUUCGCUUCUGUAACUAAAACUUCAGUUACUGUUGCUAGAUGUAAAGGUGCCAUAUCUAACAUAUGUCCGCUAUAACUAAACUUGUCCAUACGCUUGCUAAAUUUCCGUUAUAACAUAUAGACACCUGCAAAUUUAGCUACAGUAGACACAUAUCGAGUAUGACACCUAGCAAUAAUAACUAAAGUUUUAGUUACGGUAGCAAAACAUUUUCAGCUAAACCAUGAUUAGUCAUGGCAGCAACAUCUAUUUCCGUGUGCAUUCGUUUCUGCAUUACACUGGCAUUAGUUCAUGAUUAUUGAAGCUCGUGAAUUCGCACAAAUACGCCAGCUUGAGAAAAUGCAUUUCUGGUACACGGCUUGUGCGGCAAAAGUUACGAGAGCUUCGAGUUUAUUUCGGCCGACUGAAACUGCAACUGUUCUCCUUUUUCCUCUCCGAUUAAGACACUUUCGCACGACAUUACGUACAUAAUGCACCGACCCAUUUGAAGGGUUAAUUUCGGUCAGGGUAAAGCUCGUGCAUUACUCUCUCGCGGAUAAUCGGCUCUCGUUAACGGUGGGAAAACAUCGUGUGAAAAAAAGAAACGUCGUUCUGCGAGCACGCUAACGUGGAAGAUGUCUCGACUAAUGAGAAUGUUAAUGGCGAAGUUCCACGGUGAUUUCGUGGAUCAAUCUAUCCUCUUGUGAUCAAUCUCGGCGAGGUGAUUCGUUUCGUGGUUAUUUGUCGCUGCUUCGCCGUAAAAGACAAAGUUGUACGGUGAUUUUCUUUCUUUCCAUCUCUCACACGAAGGUAUUUCUCGCCUAUUUCAUAAUGGAGUAUUAUUUGAAACUAUCGUGUUAACGACCGUGGUACCAUACUCAUACGCUUCUUUAGCUAUGUUUCAACAUUUAUGCUCGUGUAGGCUCCCGCGUGCAACGUUCGUUCGAUAAUUAGGUGAUUUCAAGAUCAAGGGCGGAAAGCGAGAGAACGGUUAUUAGUAAUUCUUAGCGAGAAAAUUGCAUACGUUUUACGAUAUGCAACCCAGUAAGCCGUGGAAUUUUUAAUUAACACUUAUCGAUCGGAGGAAUUACGGUAUAAAGGCAUCGUCGGAAACAUCUCAAUAUAUUUUAUAAUCAUGUUACCCGCACGCAAGGAGAUAAAGUUAUUUACUCGCAUAAUGGCGCAAGUAAAUCCCGAUAGAUGUAUUCUGAUAGAAAUUGAAUCUCGCGGUUGUCUAGGCAUGAGGUAGUAAAUUUGCAUCUAAUGUCGCUAUUAGCUAAUAAUGUAACACUCACUUCUCCUAUGGUGGCUAAGUAAUGGCUGGAUAAAUAAGUUAGCUGAUCGAGCAAAAGAAAUUACAGUUACGAUCGUUUAGGAUGUGUGAAAUGUGUUAAAUUUAACACCCUAUUUUUCACUACGUAUUUAGUAUAACUAAAUUAUAUAUAUUUGAAUAGACAACACCGUCUAUUCUAUCAAAUUAAAUACAUAAUAGUUAGACAACGGUUCGAUCAUACAACGGUUCGAUCCUACAUUUUAGCGAAUAAUCAGCCAAUAACGAGGUGGAAAAUUUGACCUUGCCUGUUACCAUACUAGCUAAACCAGCUUUGAAUUCAGACCGAGUGGAUACAUUUCUGCUCGGACAGAUAUCGCCGGUUUCCUCGUCGAAUUUUUCGAACGGAAGUCUCUCCCUUCUCCGGGAAGGUCGAUUUCCGAUCGCUCCUUUCACGUAGACGCGAGCACGAUCUUCACCUUCCAUCUCCUCGGGUACAUAUCGCGAAUUCUGAUCGCCCACGUCGAGCGAAACAGCCGCGCGCCGCCAAUUGCGCAAUACUUAUCACAAUAUCAAGGAGCGGGGGCGGCCACGGCGGCUAGGGCUAUCUCUCUCCCACCACUGUGGCAUUGUGUUAACCGGCGUGCGUCUAGUGUAGGCCGGCGGCGUAUUAUAUCGGCCGCGAGUUAUGCAGCGCGGUAAUUGCGCGCGACUCGGCUUAUGCACAAGGACAGGCCGCGCCUUGCGCAAUGUGCGCGCUAUCCGCGUGUCUAAUGGCUUAUCCCGCCUAGACGAGGAGGAAAAGAGCGAGACGCGCCGAUCUGGGGAAACGGGAGAAAGAAGCGAGAUUGGCAUGUACGUUUCGCACACGCGUAAUCGGACUCAUACCCGGCAACCUGGCGCAUUCUUACCUCUUCGAUCAGCGGCGGACGUUUCGUUCGCGAUCGGUGGCGGGGUCGCCGUCGAGAACGUUCUCACCGGAGGGGGCAGCGCCUAUUUUAGAAAUUCCCCGCGCGGAUUCCGCGACUUUUAUCUCCUCCUAGUGAAGGCGCAAGGUGUCCCGCAUGGUAACCGCGCGCGGCGCCUUUCGGACAACUCGAUUCGGGCCUCGAUUAUUUCUGGGCGAAAAUAAUCGAACCGGUCGCUUAUACGGCGAGCUGCUUAUGCAUUAUUUAUGAAGCGGACUGUAUAACUGUAUAUCCGUACGUUUGAGAAAGUUCUUUGAUCGAUGUUAAUUUUAUUUGGCGAACCUCUUUCCUUCCUUUCCUAGCGAGCGCGCUCGGCUCGAGUGGGAGAGAGAUGCACGUUGCGACCUGUUGGAUCGUAUGCUAAGAUUCGACGCGAUUUAAGGAUGUAUUGCCCGUCAGUGUUGUAUUUUCAGUGGCGCGUCAAGAAGGAGGACACUCGUAAAUUUAGUAUUUGUCGAGCGAAAUUACAUCCCUAUGCAUUUAUUUCGCUAUCUAAAUAAUAAAUGUUAACGUUGAAACGAAGUCGACGUAGACAUAUGUAUACUGAAAAGAAAAAAAAUAGUUACGUUCAAGUAAAUAUUAUUUGAAUUUG